GGCACCUGGUCUGGGGCCAUCAAUUUACAGCGGGUGACAGACGUCAGUGCUCCGGACAACCUCAGGAAGAUAACGCAACACCCUUCCCCAUCUACUUGGAAGCUGACAGGAGAAUGGGGGAAGCACCCAAGGCAGCCUUGAAAGAAAAGCUUCUCUGUGCGGCAGGUGCUCUAGCCUGGACAUGACCUUCUGCCUGGGGCCUUCCCACCUGUGGGAAUUCCUUCCGUCUUUCAGAGUACAGCCACAUGCCACCUCUUACAUGAAGCCUUCCAGUUCCCCAGCAGGUCUGGCAUCAAGCCCAGGACGGAAGGAAAUAAAUAUAGGAACC
This is a long non-coding RNA of Microcebus murinus (gray mouse lemur), 328 nucleotides long. RefSeq lists it as uncharacterized. Lineage: Eukaryota; Metazoa; Chordata; Mammalia; Primates; Cheirogaleidae. The record is from RefSeq and is a predicted model, not a curated record.